CUACGGGUGGCAGCAGUAAGGAAUAUUGGACAAUGGGCGAAAGCCUGAUCCAGCCAUGCCGCGUGAAUGAAGAAGGCCUUAGGGUUGUAAAGUUCUUUUAGUGGUGACGAUAAUGACGGUAGCCACAGAAAAAGCUCCGGCUAACUCCGUGCCAGCAGCCGCGGUAAUACGGAGGGAGCGAGCGUUGUUCGGAAUUACUGGGCGUAAAGGGUGCGCAGGCGGCUUAGUAAGUUGGGAGUGAAAUCCCCGGGCUCAACCCGGGAAUUGCUUUCAAAACUACUAAGCUAGAGUCUCGGAGAGGUUAGCGGAAUUCCUAGUGUAGAGGUGAAAUUCGUAGAUAUUAGGAGGAACACCAGUGGCGUAAGCGGCUAACUAGACGAGUACUGACGCUCAGGCACGAAAGCGUGGGGAUCAAACAGGAUUAGAUACCCCAGUAGUC
RNAcentral lists this ribosomal RNA (439 nucleotides) under uncultured bacterium. RNAcentral describes it as "partial 16S ribosomal RNA". It matches the Rfam family "Bacterial small subunit ribosomal RNA", at positions 339 to 795 of the family's 1533-position model. The record is from RNAcentral.